GGCCCGGUAGCUGAGUGGUCAGCGUGACGGACUGUCAAUUCUAAGGUCCCGGGUUCGAUUCCCGGCUGGGUCG
Molecule: non-coding RNA, 73 nt
Organism: Schistocerca americana (American grasshopper)
Lineage: Eukaryota; Metazoa; Arthropoda; Insecta; Orthoptera; Acrididae
Source: the annotation of a RefSeq genome assembly